GCUACAGUGACUCAGUGGUUAAUAUGCUGGACUCUUAAUCAAAAGUGUGCUGGUUCAAAUCCUGCCACUGGAUCAGCC
This is a non-coding RNA of Potamilus streckersoni, 78 nucleotides long. The record is from the annotation of a GenBank genome assembly. Lineage: Eukaryota; Metazoa; Mollusca; Bivalvia; Unionida; Unionidae.